Zingiber officinale is the source of this 301-nucleotide long non-coding RNA. RefSeq lists it as uncharacterized. The record is from RefSeq and is a predicted model, not a curated record. The transcript has 4 exons. NCBI's taxonomy places the organism in Eukaryota, Viridiplantae, Streptophyta, Magnoliopsida, Zingiberales, Zingiberaceae.
CCCUUUGCUCCUCUGCCCUAGAACUCGAGCCGCUGCUGUCGACCGAGAUUUUUCUGCCCUAACGCCAGUUGCCACCACCUCUGUGCCUGCCGACGCCGUUGCCCUAGUGCUCUCUGCCUUGAGCAAAUCCACGCAACCCAUUUGUGCUGGUAGCCACAGUUCUGGUGUGGAUCAACAAGCACGGCUACGAGUUGGCAAUUUAUUUAGUUGCUAGCGGCGACAAGUUGAUCUUCAGUUGUGCGGUUGACAGAAUCUUUAGAGUGGUGCAGAUUUAAAUUGGGACUUUGAUUCGAGACGAGUA